GCUUACGGCCAUACCACCCUGAGCAUGCCUGACCUCGUCUGAUCUCGGAAGCUAAGCAGGGCUGGAGCUUGGUUAGUACUUGGAUGGGAGACUUCCUUGGAAUACCUGGUGCUGUAAGCC
RNAcentral lists this ribosomal RNA (120 nucleotides) under Maylandia zebra (zebra mbuna). Lineage: Eukaryota; Metazoa; Chordata; Actinopteri; Cichliformes; Cichlidae. The record is from RNAcentral.